AUUGAACGCUGGCGGCAGGCCUAACACAUGCAAGUCGAACGGUAACAGGAAACAGCUUGCUGUUUCGCUGACGAGUGGCGGACGGGUGAGUAAUGUCUGGGAAACUGCCUGAUGGAGGGGGAUAACUACUGGAAACGGUAGCUAAUACCGCAUAACGUCGCAAGACCAAAGAGGGGGACCUUCGGGCCUCUUGCCAUCGGAUGUGCCCAGAUGGGAUUAGCUAGUAGGUGGGGUAACGGCUCACCUAGGCGACGAUCCCUAGCUGGUCUGAGAGGAUGACCAGCCACACUGGAACUGAGACACGGUCCAGACUCCUACGAGAGGCAGCAGUGGGGAAUAUUGCACAAAGGGCGCAAGCCUGAUGCAGCCAUGCCGCGUGUAUGAAGAAGGCCUUCGGGUUGUAAAGUACUUUCAGCGGGGAGGAAGGGAGUAAAGUUAAUACCUUUACUCAUUGACGUUACCCGCAGAAGAAGCACCGGCUAACUCCGUG
RNAcentral lists this ribosomal RNA (490 nucleotides) under uncultured bacterium. RNAcentral's name for it is "partial 16S ribosomal RNA". It matches the Rfam family "Bacterial small subunit ribosomal RNA", at positions 30 to 507 of the family's 1533-position model. The record is from RNAcentral.